ACUAAUUCAAAAAGUGUACACUGAAGCGUUCUUUUUACCAGAAGUGACGUCAAGAGUUACUGUUCUUUUCAUUAGUAUAUACAACAGAACUUAGUUCAACAGUUCACUGAACUGCUUGCCCCAGGUCUUGAGCAAGUGCAAGCAGUGCAAAGGUGGAAAGUCUGAAAUGGCCUGGUUCUUUUCAACUGAACUGCUGCACUAGUUCAGAGCGCUAUAUUAGAUCCGAAGGGUGUUAAUAGUCAAAUUAAGGAAACUAUAUUGAGUCCUAGUCAAGGAGAUAACGAUUCCCCACCAACGCAAUUAGGUAUAUGAUUAUCAGAUGUAUAGUGAGAGCUUUAUAGAAUUUUAAUUUUUUAAAAUAUUAAAAACUGAAUAUUUUUUAGAAUAUUAAAACAUGGAAACAACGGGAAGUGCAUACAUUAAAAGGGAUGCAGCUGAAAAUAUUUUGGUUGAUGAAAAUGGAAAUGUUACUUGUGAAUCCAAAGAACGAACAAACAAAUGAUACAAAUAGUUAUGGAAAUUGUAGUCUAGAAAAUAAUGGUAACGAUGAAAAUAAUGCUAAUUAUGAAAAUAAUGCUAAUAGAACAAACCAAGAUAGAAGAGAGACACUUUUUGGGAUGAUGCAACAACUAAACUGUUUUUGGAAUUAUAUGAGAAAAACAGUGAUCUCUUAGUGAACAGAAAAAUUAAAACCAAGAAAAUAUUAUGGCAAAAAAUAACAGAAAGUAUGCAAAAACAUGGAUACAACGUGACACUUGUACAAGUCGAAAAUAAAUAUAAGUCUUUAGAGAGAUCGUUCAAAAAUAUGGUUUUAAAUAAUAAUAAAACAAGCAGAGCUCGCAUGUCAUGUCCAUAUGAACAGUAAAUAUUAAAUUUAUUUCAAGCUUAAUGUAACUUUAUGGAUAACA
Molecule: long non-coding RNA, 908 nt
Organism: Solenopsis invicta (red fire ant)
Lineage: Eukaryota; Metazoa; Arthropoda; Insecta; Hymenoptera; Formicidae
Exons: 3
Source: RefSeq, a predicted model, not a curated record